This 446-nucleotide ribosomal RNA is filed under the name uncultured bacterium. Its description in RNAcentral is "partial 16S ribosomal RNA". It matches the Rfam family "Bacterial small subunit ribosomal RNA", at positions 338 to 795 of the family's 1533-position model. The record is from RNAcentral.
CCUACGGGUGGCAGCAGUCGAGAAUCAUUCACAAUGGGGGAAACCCUGAUGGUGCGACGCCGCGUGGGGGAAUGAAGGUCUUCGGAUUGUAAACCCCUGUCAUGUGGGAGCAAAUUAAAAAGAUAGUACCACAAGAGGAAGAGACGGCUAACUCUGUGCCAGCAGCCGCGGUAAUACAGAGGUCUCAAGCGUUGUUCGGAAUCACUGGGCGUAAAGCGUGCGUAGGCUGUUUCGUAAGUCGUGUGUGAAAGGCGCGGGCUCAACCCGCGGACGGCACAUGAUACUGCGAGACUAGAGUAAUGGAGGGGGAACCGGAAUUCUCGGUGUAGCAGUGAAAUGCGUAGAUAUCGAGAGGAACACUCGUGGCGAAGGCGGGUUCCUGGACAUUAACUGACGCUGAGGCACGAAGGCCAGGGGAGCGAGAGGGAUUAGAUACCCGAGUAGUC